RNAcentral lists this transfer RNA (79 nucleotides) under Paramuricea clavata. It matches the Rfam family "tRNA". Rfam says of the family: Transfer RNA (tRNA) molecules are approximately 80 nucleotides in length. Their secondary structure includes four short double-helical elements and three loops (D, anti-codon, and T loops). Lineage: Eukaryota; Metazoa; Cnidaria; Anthozoa; Malacalcyonacea; Plexauridae. The record is from Rfam by way of RNAcentral.
UGCCUUAUAGCUCAAUAUAAUGGUUAGAGCGUCUGUCCGGUUAUCAGAAGGUUACGUGGUUCAAUUCCCGUUAGGGCUC